Molecule: ribosomal RNA, 230 nt
Filed under: uncultured bacterium
Lineage: Bacteria
Description: partial 16S ribosomal RNA
Rfam family: Bacterial small subunit ribosomal RNA
Source: RNAcentral
AAAGCGUGCGCAGGCGGUUUUGUAAGUCUGUCGUGAAAUCCCCGGGCUCAACCUGGGAAUGGCGAUGGAGACUGCAAGGCUAGAGUUUGGCAGAGGGGGGUAGAAUUCCACGUGUAGCAGUGAAAUGCGUAGAGAUGUGGAGGAACACCGAUGGCGAAGGCAGCCCCCUGGGUCAAAACUGACGCUCAUGCACGAAAGCGUGGGGAGCAAACAGGAUUAGAUACCCCUGU